GACGAACGCUGGCGGCGUGCUUCAGACAUGCAAGUCGAGCGGGCGAGGUCGAACGCAAGGGAGGCUGAAGCUAGCGGCGAACGGGUGAGUAACACGUGGGUAAUCUACCCGGAAGACUGGGAUAAACGGCCCGAAAGGGCCGCUAAUACCGGAUAAUAUCGCGGUCUCGCAUGAGGCUGCGAAGAAAGGCGAAAGCCACUUUCGGAUGAGCCCGCGACCCAUCAGCUAGUUGGUGAGGUAACGGCUCACCAAGGCGACGACGGGCAGCCGGUCUGAGAGGAUGGUCGGCCACACUGGGACUGAGAUACGGCCCAGACUCCUACGGGAGGCAGCAGUCGGGAAUAUUGGGCAAUGGGCGAAAGCCUGACCCAGCGACGCCGCGUGAGGGAAGAAGGCCUUCGGGUCGUAAACCUCUGUCAUCGGGGACGAAGGAAGUGACGGUACCCGAGGAGGAAGCCCCUGCUAACUACGUG
RNAcentral lists this ribosomal RNA (473 nucleotides) under uncultured bacterium. RNAcentral describes it as "bacterial SSU rRNA". It matches the Rfam family "Bacterial small subunit ribosomal RNA", at positions 28 to 507 of the family's 1533-position model. The record is from RNAcentral.